Molecule: long non-coding RNA, 749 nt
Filed under: Apteryx owenii (little spotted kiwi)
Lineage: Eukaryota; Metazoa; Chordata; Aves; Apterygiformes; Apterygidae
Description: lncRNA (ENSAOWG00000014885.1)
Source: RNAcentral
ACUGAAAAGGAAGGUCCUAGGGUAGCAGAGUGGAGGAGCAGAGGUGGAGCAGAUCUGCUUGGAGCUCCGUCUGCUCUGAACCCGUUUCACUGUGGGGCACUUUUGGUACUUCAGAAGGGUGGUGCAGGUCACAUUGCCCCUCGCCUCCCUGUUGGCCAGGAGGAAGUUACAAAGAUGGCUGUCUGUGUGAACUGAGGAACAAAGGCAAUAUGAUCAACUUCAAGCACUCGGAAGUUAUUAGGAACAUGGGCCAGGAAGGGCAGAAAAGAUCACGGAGGCUACAGCUGCUUCUGCAAAGAGCACAGCCAGGAACUGCAACCCAGCAGCGCAGCCCCAUUGGCAUGGCGGCCCACUGCAGACUUGUAAACGGAAACGGUGCAGAUGACGGGAUAUCACACUAUAGUCAUUUGGGAGGGGGUAUUUUGGAUCAGCUCCAGUCUGGUUCCUUGGACUGCAUAUGCAUUAGCAGUUAACACACAUCAUGUGACCACCUUCUAGCUUGCUUUCAUCCAGGAGUAAGCCAGUUUGCAAGCUGCAAGCCCAGUCUGCAAAACCAAGCAUGGCGAGCGGGCUAACUGCGGUUCGUUUCAGAAGAGCACUUCUGCCUGAAACAAAUGUCAGCGUCUUACACCCUGAUGCAAGGUCUCUGCGGUCCCAUUCUCCGCUGUGCCCGCUGGGUGUGCAGUGGGUAUUUGAGCAUCAGCAGCUUCAAAGUAGAAGUAAAAAUAAAUGCGAGAGUGUCGAUGCCA